GACGAACGUUGGCGGCGUGCUUAAUACAUGCAAGUCAACUGAAGCAGUGGUAGCAAUAUCGCUGUGGAGGUGGCGCACGGGUGAGUAACACGUAGGUAAUCUGCCUUCAGGUCUGGCAUAACUCCGGGAAACCGGGGCUAAUAGCAGAUGAUGCAGCGGCUUGACAUCGAGACAGUUGUUAAAGCUAUGGCGCCUGAAGAUGAGCCUGCGUCUGAUUAGCUAGUUGGCGGGGUAACGGCCCACCAAGGCAACGAUCAGUAGCUGGUCUGAGAGGAUGAUCAGCCACACUGGAACUGAGACACGGUCCAGACUCCUACGGGAGGCAGCAGUAAGGAAUAUUGCUCAAUGGGAGAAAUCCUGAAGCAGCAACGCCGCGUGAGGGACGAAGGGCUUUUGCUUGUAAACCUCUGUAGUGAGAGAAAAAAAUCCCAAUCUUUGGGACAUGAUGGUAUCUCAAAAGUAAGCCCCGGCUAACUACGUG
RNAcentral lists this ribosomal RNA (481 nucleotides) under uncultured bacterium. Its description in RNAcentral is "partial 16S ribosomal RNA". It matches the Rfam family "Bacterial small subunit ribosomal RNA", at positions 28 to 507 of the family's 1533-position model. The record is from RNAcentral.